This is an RNA transcript of Acinonyx jubatus (cheetah), 1690 nucleotides long. RefSeq lists it as uncharacterized. The transcript is spliced from 3 exons. Lineage: Eukaryota; Metazoa; Chordata; Mammalia; Carnivora; Felidae. The record is from RefSeq and is a predicted model, not a curated record.
CGGGCAGCGCAGGGGCGGGGCGCUGGUAAAGGGCGCUUGGUGCAGUCCGGGGGUGCGCGACGAGCGCCCGAAAACCGCGCGGACCCAGGGCGCCGCCGCGGACCCACCCCUCCUGACCUGGGGACCCGCGGCGCGGAGCCCAUUUUAACCGCGAUUGUUGAGUGUUUAGCCGGCCAGCUCAGCCCCGCGUCUCGCCUUUGCAGAGGGGCGCCGCUUCAUCUCGGACCAGAGUCGGAAGAAGGACCUCUCGGACCGGCCGCCCCCGGAAAGACGAAGCCCAAAUCCCCAGCUACUAACUCUUCCAGAGACAGCAGCUCUGCUACUGGCUUCCUUGCAGAGACCACAAGAAGCUGGAGAAGAAAACUUUGAUCAAACCAGAAUCCUAGAAGACUACUAACCUGGGGAAAAUAGACCAAAUUACAUUCAAAUACAGUUCUGUUCUUGUUGAAAACAUGAGCAUGUAAAUAAAGCCUUUGGAGGCUUUUUACUUCAGUUGUAAUCUUAGGAACAUGCACAACCAGUUUCAUUCUUUCCAGCAACAAAGGUAAUGUAGAGUUCUUAGCUGAGAGCAUCACCUUCUUUCAUUGCUUCUGGUCCUGUUUAGGUCACCUUGUGUCUUAGUCCCCUUUAGAAUUAAGCAUAAGGCCAGCGACUCUUUAGAGUGUGCUUUCUUUUUGUUAAAACGAGUCUGUCUUGAUCUAGUGAUUCUCAGUUGUUGGUUUUUUUUUUCAUUCUGUUACCCCUUGCAUUGUCUUGUCACUCAGCAGCAGAUCUCCGUCUCCUUUUCUACCUUUUUCCCAUCUUCAUGGGUGGGGGGAUGGGGAGGCAUGGCAGGAUGGGAAAGAGUAGAGUGUUCUCUUAAUAGUUCAUCUAGGAGACAUAAAUUAAGAAGGGAAGAGGAAGGAGUUGACUGGGAAGAAGCCCUGUGAUAAGAACACUUCAGUGUAGUUGCUGAAAGAGGGCAUGAUCUCUGAAGCUGGUAGAAGGUUCCACAAUGGAGAGCUUCCCUUUGUGUUAUUUGGGGAUCUCCCUGAAUUCUGGGACUUACUGGGAAAUAAGCAGAUGGAGACACACUCUGUUCCUGUGUACAUUGUACAAAAGGAACAAACCAGUUUUUCAGAGGCAACUCAUUUUUCACAGCUAAACAGAUUCAAAGAGUCUGCUUACUCUAAUUAGCUAGAGUUCUAGGCUUUAUUUUACCUUAAAACAUUACAUAAAACACCCUGAUAACAUCAGUACAGAGUGAUAUGCCCAAUCUGGUCCUUCUCAAAACUUUGAACUUAGGUUCAAAACUGUCUGAAAAAAACACACACAUGCAGUAACACACACACACAUAUCCACAGCAAGCAUAAUAACCUAUUUUUUUGGAAUUGGAAUGUGAUCACCAUGUUAAUUUUUUGACCUAAUUAAUUGAGAGCUAUUAUUGAUAAAUGUCAUAAGUGGAAAACAUUGUGAAUUCUUAUUGUCAUCAAUAUAUAGCCAUUAUUCAGUAGCUAAAGAAUACCUUUAUGUGAAUGUAUCUGUACCUUGAGAUUACAGUUUCACUGUGUUAUGAAGUCAAAACCUUGCUUAUAAGAUUUGGCUGUAUCUUGUUUCAUAAUUGAAUAAUGAAACUAUAUUCAAGUUAAUGUAACACAGAUCUCUUGCAAAAACUAAUAUGCUAGCAUUAAAAAAACUAUGUGGUAUUAUA